AGAGUUGGUCGGGCAAUCGCGUUGUGAUUUCACACCGAGGAAAGUCCGGGCUCCGCAGGGUAAGGUGCCGGAUAACGUCCGGGGGGCGCGAGCCUACGGCCAGUGCAACAGAAAAGAUACCGCCAUCUUUGAUGGUAAGGGUGAAAUGGUGCGGUAAGAGCGCACCGCGACUUUGGUAACAAAGGCGGCAUGGUAAACCCCACCUGGAGCAAGAUCAAAUAGGGAAACUAUAGGUGUGUACCCGCACUGUUUUCGGGUAGAUUCCUUGAGGCUGGCAGUGAUGUCAGACCCAGAUGAAUGAUUGCCACAUGAAAACGUACAGAACCCGGCUUAUAGACCAACUCUCUUC
This 349-nucleotide RNase P RNA is filed under the name Lysobacterales bacterium. RNAcentral describes it as "RNase P RNA component class A". It matches the Rfam family "Bacterial RNase P class A". Rfam says of the family: Ribonuclease P (RNase P) is a ubiquitous endoribonuclease, found in archaea, bacteria and eukarya as well as chloroplasts and mitochondria. Its best characterised activity is the generation of mature 5'-ends of tRNAs by cleaving the 5'-leader elements of precursor-tRNAs. The record is from RNAcentral. Lineage: Bacteria; Pseudomonadati; Pseudomonadota; Gammaproteobacteria; Lysobacterales.